GUGCUUGAUGCAAAUCCUGUGCAUGUCAAAGCUCUCUACCACUGAGGAAUGUCAUACAUUUUAGGUGGGGACUUUGAUGAUGCAAAGAAAGAUUUUGAGAAGAUGAUAGCCAUCGAUAAGUCCUCCGAGCUUGAUGCUAUAGCGGCCCUUGUUAAACUUAAACAGAAGGAACAUGAAAUCGAAAAGAAGGCAAGGAAGCAGUUCAAAGGACUAUUGGACAAGAAUCCAUGAGAGAUAUCUAAAGUUGGUGUGGAGUCCAAGAAUGGUGGCGACACGGCAGGGUCCGAUGAGGCGGUGAUAAAUAGGGAUAGAGAUGGAAGCGGGAAGUCUAGUCCUCCGAGUGCAGAAUCAGAUCAUGCAUUUGAUGAAGAGAGGCCAGGACUUAUUGGCCGCAUCUGGUCUGCGAGGCGGAUUUUCUCCUCCACUACUCUGAACAGGCAGCAGUGA
RNAcentral lists this ribosomal RNA (447 nucleotides) under Triticum aestivum (bread wheat). RNAcentral's name for it is "partial small subunit ribosomal RNA". The record is from RNAcentral. Lineage: Eukaryota; Viridiplantae; Streptophyta; Magnoliopsida; Poales; Poaceae.